Non-coding RNA from Ictidomys tridecemlineatus (thirteen-lined ground squirrel), 793 nucleotides. The record is from RefSeq and is a predicted model, not a curated record. Lineage: Eukaryota; Metazoa; Chordata; Mammalia; Rodentia; Sciuridae.
GGUAGCUAACUCGUGAUUCAAAGCAUAUGCUCUGCCCUCUUUAGGAAAUGGAGUUCCCACUGCCCCUUUUCCUGAGGGGGUUUCCAUCUGUUCAGCAAUACAGAUUUGACCGUGGGUUAUCAUUUAUUAAUUCAGACAUUUGGGAGGGAGACACGCUGGCUGUGCAGAGAUGCAAACAGAGCCCCGGCCUCGGCAUCAGAAUCCCGGGUGCUCCCAAGAUUUCCUCCUAGGCACUCCAGCCUCCGGAGCCCUGGGGUUUGGAAGGAGCAGCCCUGCCUGCCUUCCAUACAUGAUGUAUCGUAUCACAGACAGAUGCCCUAUGGAACCUAUUACUUUGCAUCAGUAUAUUUAAAUUUGGAUCUAAAGCAAGAGGAAUUUGAAUACUUCUGCUACUCAUCAUAAAGGGCAUAGGGGGAUUCUGUAUGCAAUCAGGAUAAAGUCUUAGAAUAGAAGUUCCUUUGGUGAGGGAGAGGACCAUUUUUGCGGCUUGGAAAUGAAGAUGAUAAUAUCUGGUCUCACCCAACUGGACAUAAUUUAAAACUUUAACAUCCCUUCUUUCUGGCUUUAUUUGUAAAUGUUGAUCCUAGCAUUAUGAACCUCAGAGCCUUUCCUAUUUUCUUGUUUCACAACUCCUCAGGAAUGUGCAAAAGGAAAGGUAAUAAAGGAAAAUCUUUUCAAGAUAAAACAUGAUUCAUAAAGGUGACAGCCAUGCCAUAUGUGAACAGUGAUUAACAGCUGCAGAGUCUGCAAACUGCUUUUUAAAAAUAAAGUGAUAAAGCAGAUUUUCCCAUUA